This 460-nucleotide ribosomal RNA is filed under the name uncultured bacterium. Its description in RNAcentral is "partial 16S ribosomal RNA". It matches the Rfam family "Bacterial small subunit ribosomal RNA", at positions 338 to 795 of the family's 1533-position model. The record is from RNAcentral.
CCUACGGGGGGCUGCAGUGAGGAAUAUUGGUCAAUGGACGCAAGUCUGAACCAGCCAUGCCGCGUGCAGGAAGACGGCUCUAUGAGUUGUAAACUGCUUUUGUACGAGGGUAAACGCAGAUACGCGUAUCUGUCUGAAAGUAUCGUACGUAUAAGGAUCGGCUAACCCCGUGCCAGCAGCCGCGGUAAUACGGAGGAUUCAAGCGUUAUCCGGAUUUAAUGGGUUUAAAGGGUGCGUAGGCGGUCGGAUAAGUUAGAGGUGAAAUCCCGAGGCUCAACUUCGGAAUUGCCUCUGAUACUGUUCGGCUAGAGAGUAGUUGCGGUAGGCGGAAUGUAUGGUGUAGCGGUGAAAUGCUUAGAGAUCAUACAGAACACCGAUUGCGAAGGCAGCUUACCAAGCUACUUCUGACGUUGAGGCACGAAAGCGUGGGGAGCAAACAGGAUUAGAUACCCUUGUAGUC